GACGAACGCUGGCGGCGUGCUUAACACAUGCAAGUCGAACGGAAGGGCCCUGCUUUUGUGGCGUGCUCGAGUGGCGAACGGGUGAGUAAAACGUGAGUAACCUGCCCUUGACUUUGGGAUAACUUCAGGAAACUGGGGAUAAUACCCGAUAGGAGCUCCUGCUGCAUGGUGUGGGUUGGAAAGUUUCGGCGGUUGGGGCUGGACUCGCGGCUUAUCAGCUUGUUGGUGGGGUAGUGGCUUACCAAGGCUUUGACGGGUAGCCGGCCUGAGAGGGUGACCGGCCACAUUGGGACUGAGAGACGGCCCAGACUCCUACGGGAGGCAGCAGUGGGGAAUAUUGCACAAUGGGCGGAAGCCUGAUGCAGCAACGCCGCGUGCGGGAUGACGGCCUUCGGGUUGUAAACCGCUUUCGCCUGUGACGAAGCGUGAGUGACGGUAAUGGGUAAAGAAGCACCGGCUAACUACGUG
This 468-nucleotide ribosomal RNA is filed under the name uncultured bacterium. Its description in RNAcentral is "partial 16S ribosomal RNA". It matches the Rfam family "Bacterial small subunit ribosomal RNA", at positions 28 to 507 of the family's 1533-position model. The record is from RNAcentral.